UUUAUCUGGGAAGCUAAAAAUUACCAUUACUCACCAAGAGUCAGUCCUCAUAGAGGAUCUUUUCCAUAAAGUAUGUUUGUUGUUGCAUGCAUCAAUUUCAAGGGAUUAAAGUAUAUUUUACCUACAAGAGAGUCUUCAGCUCUUGAACUCCAGGAUUCUCACCAGUGGCCAACAGUUUCUCAGACCUUAGGUUUUGAAUUGAGUUACGUCAUCAGCUUUCCUGGUUUUAAGGCUUUCAAACAUGGAUUGGCUUCUCUGAUUCUCCAGUUUGCUGACAACCUAUCCUGGGACUUUCCUGCCAUCAUAAGACCUGUGAAGAAUUCUACCUUCAGACAACUGCUCAACUGGAUUGAAUCUGGGAGAAGAAGAUGGGGGCAUUAUUUCUUGACAGCCACCUAGAUUCCAACAGCAUCAUGCAACAAAUGGUACUAAGACCUUCAGAACCCUUGAAGAGCUAAUCAGCACUUAUGCAUGAAGGCAAUGUUCUAAACCUUAGUGGUCAGGAAAUGUUUGAGAUUUGAAACAGUUGUUUGAAGUUGAGGCAGAAAGUAAUAAAGAAUACUAAAAUUAUCAAAGAAACACCAAACACAAAUCAAUAGCAUCCAAAUGAGCUUUACCUUUAUAGCUGGUACUCUUUCUGUCCUCUUUUCUGCUUCCUAAGAGAUGUUUUUUGGUGAUUUGGUCCUCCUAAGUGCAUGCACAUUGGACAGGAUAGUAUGAGUAUGAUUAGAGUGUAAGCAUGACUAGAAGCACAA
Molecule: long non-coding RNA, 755 nt
Filed under: Homo sapiens (human)
Lineage: Eukaryota; Metazoa; Chordata; Mammalia; Primates; Hominidae
Description: HSALNT0318377
Source: RNAcentral